RNAcentral lists this ribosomal RNA (120 nucleotides) under Paenibacillus sp. Soil766. RNAcentral describes it as "partial 16S ribosomal RNA". It matches the Rfam family "Bacterial small subunit ribosomal RNA", at positions 1 to 121 of the family's 1533-position model. The record is from RNAcentral. Lineage: Bacteria; Bacillati; Bacillota; Bacilli; Caryophanales; Paenibacillaceae.
CUAUUAUGGAGAGUUUGAUCCUGGCUCAGGACGAACGCUGGCGGCGUGCCUAAUACAUGCAAGUCGAGCGGGUUUGUCCUUCGGGACAAGCUAGCGGCGGACGGGUGAGUAACACGUAGG